GCCCAGGUGGCGGAAUGGUAGACGCGCGCGUUUCAGGUGCGCGUGCUGAGAGGCGUGCAGGUUCGAGUCCUGUUCUGGGCACCA
This 84-nucleotide transfer RNA is filed under the name Muribaculaceae bacterium. RNAcentral's name for it is "tRNA-Leu". It matches the Rfam family "tRNA". From Rfam's summary of the family: Transfer RNA (tRNA) molecules are approximately 80 nucleotides in length. Their secondary structure includes four short double-helical elements and three loops (D, anti-codon, and T loops). Further hydrogen bonds mediate the characteristic L-shaped molecular structure. tRNAs have two regions of fundamental functional importance: the anti-codon, which is responsible for specific mRNA codon recognition, and the 3' end, to which the tRNAs corresponding amino acid is attached (by aminoacyl-tRNA synthetases). tRNAs cope with the degeneracy of the genetic code in two manners: having more than one tRNA (with a specific anti-codon) for a particular amino acid; and 'wobble' base-pairing, i.e. permitting non-standard base-pairing at the 3rd anti-codon position. Lineage: Bacteria; Pseudomonadati; Bacteroidota; Bacteroidia; Bacteroidales; Muribaculaceae. The record is from RNAcentral.